UACGUAGGGUGCAAGCGUUGCCCGGAUUUAUUGGGCGUAAAGGGCGCGUAGGCGGCUCGGCACGUCCGUUGUGAAAUCGCCCGGCUCAACUGGGCGGGGUCAGCGGAUACGGUCGAGCUCGAGCAAGCUAGGGGGCAAUGGAAUUCCCGGUGUAGUGGUGGAAUGCGCAGAUAUCAGGAGGAACACCGGUGGCGAAGGCGGAUCUCUGGGCCUUACCUGACGCUCAGGCGCGAAAGCUAGGGGAGCGAACAGG
This 253-nucleotide ribosomal RNA is filed under the name uncultured bacterium. RNAcentral's name for it is "partial 16S ribosomal RNA". It matches the Rfam family "Bacterial small subunit ribosomal RNA", at positions 524 to 776 of the family's 1533-position model. The record is from RNAcentral.